This 2108-nucleotide long non-coding RNA is filed under the name Helianthus annuus (common sunflower). RNAcentral's name for it is "sRNA HanXRQr2_Chr15g0717251". The record is from RNAcentral. Lineage: Eukaryota; Viridiplantae; Streptophyta; Magnoliopsida; Asterales; Asteraceae.
GUUUCAUGCAAACUAUUACAUUUGAGCUUGUUGAAAUCUAAAUUCGUUUAUUGGAUGCAAUCAUUUCUAGAAUUCAUUCAUAUCUUGUGACACGUCUUUAAAUCCACAUCAUUCGAAUAAGUCUUGAUUCGAUUUCAUGAUCGUUCACUUUGGUACUAUUCAUAUUUUCUACGCAUAACGUAACUCAAAGGAGUUGACGUAGUCUAAAUUUCGAGGACGAAAUUUUAUUAACAGGGGGAGACUGUGACAACCGGUAAUUUACACCCUUAAUUACGUGAUUAACAGGUAAUUACGCAAUAAUAAAUAGGGUUUACGACGCAAAUUAACUUAAUUAGGCCCUUGGAGUGCCUAGGAACGCUUAUCCGACCCUACAAUACGCUUUUGAAGAUUCGCGCGGCAUCUGCGGAACAUCAAUUGACAACGGACUGAAACCGUACGAAAUACUGACAACGCCAACAAAUAUGGAUAUUACAUGAAUAUUCUAUGCUCAUGGAGUUUGGGUCGCGAUAUCGGGUCUCGUAGGAAUUACGGGCCACCUACUCAUGAGAUGGGCUUGUGGGCCCUGAGGCCAAGUCCAAAACCCGCAAGCCUAAACCUGCAUAAUAUAUAAGAUCUACAAAAUAUAGCCAAAUCUCUACAAAAGAUUUGCAAUAAUCCUACUAAAUCCUAAAAUCUCUAUAAAUCUUUACAAAAGAUAUCAUCUCAAAAGAUAUAACAUAUAACCUGAAUAGAAUUUGAAAACAUAAAGGAUAAUAAAAGUUGGCCACUCUAUUAAUACACAUCCACUCCUUCUCAUCUAAACUCACACUGCCUUUCACCUUCCUCCCUCUCGGUUACAUAUACAAACACAGGGAAUUUCUCACCUGCACAAGACAAAAACCCAAAUCAAACAACUUUCCUCACCAAACAAAACCCAACCCAACCCAGCCGACCACCCCUACCCCUCUCGGUCUAUCUCUCCUCUCGUUCUAUACAUUCAAACACAAAGAAAUCAGCUCCCAACCCACUUGUUUUACCCCCUAUUAAUGGGCCAACCACCACCAUCCUUUGGUGGUGGCAGACUACAACAACAAACACCACCACCACCACCACAGGCGGCGGCGCUGUGGUGGUUGGUACCGAAUGAUGAAGAGAACAGAACCGCCGCACGCGGCGGCGGUAUGAUGGCAAGAGAGAGAGAGAGAGUAGAGAGAGAUGGUGACAGCGGCUGACUGGCGACGGAGCCGUCUCUCCGACGGCGGCGGCGGUGGUCUGAGACUUAGACCGGCAGUUCGUGUUACGGACCGGUGGUUCGUGUCAAGAUCCAGCGGUUUUUGCUUUUGACUAAUGGGUUAACCGGGAGUAGCGGCUGAAGACGGUGGUGAUGACGAUGGUGACGGCAGUGGCAGCGUGACGGUGGUUGUGUCUCGAUCCACGAGAUUUCCGCAAACGUCAACAGUUGGGGUUCGGGUUAGAUGUUGAGUUUCGGGUUUUCGGGUGCAGGUCAGCGCUGUGGUUCAGCUUGUUGCGGUUCACACGGUUCAGCAGGUUUAAUUUUCGGGCCAACUGGUUAACGGGUUGACUCGGUCAAACUGAGUCAACUCAGUCAACAAGUCAAAGCUGGUCAACAUCGAGUCAUUGCUCGGGCUUGGUCAACUCGGGUCAGAUUAGGAAGCGGUUCGGUCGACUCGGUCAAACCCGGUCAACAGCGAGUUGACUCGGUCAACUCAGCUAGCUCACUCGACAUUUCGUCACGAAGACUUGGAAUAUUGUAGAAUGCACGCUAGCAAGUCCCGACUUGGAAACGACAUCGCAAAGUCGUAUAUAGCUAGCUUUGCACAGGAAUAUUCAGGUUACUUUUCAAACAAUGGAACGGUUGGAAUAGGAGGACCAUGAAGAGUCGAGUACUUAGUGGCGUUCAAUUUCUAGAAGUCUUAGCUUUAUUUGCUUCCGCUGUGCAAUGAAGAUACCAGUCCAGUCACGCCAAUGCUCUGAUAAUUUCGGGGUGUGACAACAAACCCUUAAAAGGGUACUACUCGUAAUAGGCUGGCCUCUCCUUAGCAUCUAUAAGAGUCUCGCAAGCUUGGAUGCAUUGAGUCUGUUGAACUAGUUUCCUCUUUAUUUUGAUC